Plectosphaerella cucumerina is the source of this 86-nucleotide non-coding RNA. NCBI's taxonomy places the organism in Eukaryota, Fungi, Ascomycota, Sordariomycetes, Glomerellales, Plectosphaerellaceae. The record is from the annotation of a GenBank genome assembly.
CUCCCUGUGGUGUAGUUGGCUAUCACGUCGGGCUGUAAUUGUUCCAUUUCACCUGAAGGUCACCGGCUCGACUCCGGUCGGGGAGA